CCAUCGAAUCUUUGAACGCAAGUUGCGCCCGAGGCCAACCGGUCGAGGGCACGUCCGCCUGGGCGUCAAGC
RNAcentral lists this ribosomal RNA (71 nucleotides) under Maxillaria carinulata. RNAcentral's name for it is "partial 5.8S ribosomal RNA". The record is from RNAcentral. Lineage: Eukaryota; Viridiplantae; Streptophyta; Magnoliopsida; Asparagales; Orchidaceae.